RNAcentral lists this ribosomal RNA (486 nucleotides) under uncultured bacterium. Its description in RNAcentral is "partial 16S ribosomal RNA". It matches the Rfam family "Bacterial small subunit ribosomal RNA", at positions 30 to 507 of the family's 1533-position model. The record is from RNAcentral.
AUUGAACGCUGGCGGCAUGCCUUACACAUGCAAGUCGAACGGCAGCACGGGUGCUUGCACCUGGUGGCGAGUGGCGAACCGGUGAGUAAUACAUCGGAACAUGUCCUGUAGUGGGGGAUAGCCCGGCGAAAGCCGGAUUAAUACCGCAUACGAUCUACGGAUGAAAGCGGGGGACCUUCGGGCCUCGCGCUAUAGGGUUGGCCGAUGGCUGAUUAGCUAGUUGGUGGGGUAAAGGCCUACCAAGGCGACGAUCAGUAGCUGGUCUGAGAGGACGACCAGCCACACUGGGACUGAGACACGGCCCAGACUCCUACGGGAGGCAGCAGUGGGGAAUUUUGGACAAUGGGCGAAAGCCUGAUCCAGCAAUGCCGCGUGUGUGAAGAAGGCCUUCGGGUUGUAAAGCACUUUUGUCCGGAAAGAAAUCCUUGGCCCUAAUACGGUCGGGGGAUGACGGUACCGGAAGAAUAAGCACCGGCUAACUACGUG